GUCCACGCCGUAAACGAUGGAUACUUGUUGUUGGAGGUAUUGACCCCUUCAGUGACGAAGCUAACGCGUUAAGUAUCCCGCCUGGGGAGUACGGUCGCAAGAUUAAAACUCAAAGAAAUUGACGGGGCCCGCACAAGCGGUGGAGCAUGUGGUUUAAUUCGAUGCAACGCGAAGAACCUUACCUAGGCUUGACAUGUACUGGAAGACUGGCAGAAAUGUCGUCGCUCGCAAGAGUCGGUACACAGGUGCUGCAUGGCUGUCGU
This 263-nucleotide ribosomal RNA is filed under the name uncultured bacterium. RNAcentral describes it as "partial 16S ribosomal RNA". It matches the Rfam family "Bacterial small subunit ribosomal RNA", at positions 793 to 1055 of the family's 1533-position model. The record is from RNAcentral.